AAGUCGUAACAAGGUUUCCGUAGGUGAACCUGCGGAAGGAUCAUUACAAAACAUCUUGGUGGCUUCGGCCCCAAGGCGCACCCUGUUUACACGUAUUAUUGUUGCUCCCUCGGCGGUCUUCCGCCGACGGACGCCCUUACAAACCUUUGCAAUAGCCGUAACGUCUGAUCAAAUUUAAUUAUUUACAACUUUCAACAAUGGAUCUCUUGGUUCUG
Molecule: unclassified non-coding RNA, 215 nt
Filed under: air metagenome
Description: partial contains small subunit ribosomal RNA, internal transcribed spacer 1, and 5.8S ribosomal RNA
Rfam family: Eukaryotic small subunit ribosomal RNA (bases 1-46)
Source: RNAcentral